Molecule: long non-coding RNA, 852 nt
Organism: Numida meleagris (helmeted guineafowl)
Lineage: Eukaryota; Metazoa; Chordata; Aves; Galliformes; Numididae
Source: Ensembl
AAUUGACUGAAAUAUUCUGAAAUUCAAUGCAAAUUAUACCUGAAUAAAAAAGUAAUCUAGGGGCAUGAGGAAGUUGAGAAUUAUUUUCUAAAUACUAUGGAGAGUUUCAGAUUAGUGUUUUGUCCUAAAGAAAACUCUUUCCCUACUCAUGCUAUUUUACCAAAUGAAUCAAACUACAAGCAGACUUCUGAAACCAGAUUUUCUGGCUGGAAGAUUGGCAGUCAGCAUUCACCUGCCUCAUCCAUGGUUUUUGUCACUUUUGGUUGCCAGUGUCGGAAUAUUGUUUCAUUAAAUGAUUUGUCAUAACUGUAGAAAAUGUAACUGUGGUUAGAAGACAGAUAGAAAGAUGCAUACAUAUAUAGAAAGACAGACGGACACAAAGAUAGAGUAAUCUGGUAAGCAUACAAGCAAUCUGUGUCAUCUCUUGGUUCCUUCCUACCUAUAGCCAGAGACUUGUUAUUAAUAUUGCAUGAAAGAAAGCUGCUGAAUGUUUGAAUCUAUUCCACUGGAUAUGAAGAUGCAAACUGACUUUAAUGAUGGACUUCUGACACAGAUUGCUGCCAAAAAUAAGCUGACACAAAAACAGCACUGUCUCCUCCCUGCCUGGGUCUUCGAUCAUGAAACAUGGCAGCAUUUAUGUUUCAGGAUAGUACCUGAAGAAAAUGCUUCACAGGGACACAGGCAGGUAAGUAGAAUAACAUUUACAUGCAUAUUUUUCCUCCCUUGUGAACAGUUUUUCAUUAAAGGGAGUGAUUAGGUUCUUGUUAUUCUUAUACUCUUUUCCAUUGCUUAGGGAGAUUCUGCUGUAAUCUGGCUCAUACUCUGAAGGAUUUUAAAAUAACUUUCUGUCCA